This 704-nucleotide ribosomal RNA is filed under the name Paenibacillus polymyxa. RNAcentral describes it as "partial 23S ribosomal RNA". It matches the Rfam family "Bacterial large subunit ribosomal RNA", at positions 1457 to 2157 of the family's 2925-position model. The record is from RNAcentral. Lineage: Bacteria; Bacillati; Bacillota; Bacilli; Caryophanales; Paenibacillaceae.
AUGAGCGAUGGGGUGACGCAGUAGGGUAGUGACGCGGACUGAUGGAUGUCCGUCUAAGCAGUGAGGCUGAUGUGUAGGCAAAUCCGCACAUCGUAAGGCUGGGCUGUGAUGGGGAGCGAAAAUUACAGUAGCGAAGGUCAUGAUCUCAGACUGCCAAGAAAAGCCUCUAGCCAGGAGAAGGUGCCCGUACCGCAAACCGACACAGGUAGGCGAGAAGAGAAUUCUAAGGCGCGCGGAAGAACUCUCGUUAAGGAACUCGGCAAAAUGACCCCGUAACUUCGGGAGAAGGGGUGCCUCGGUAGGGUGAAUAGCCCGAGGGGGCCGCAGUGAAAAGGCCCAAGCGACUGUUUAGCAAAAACACAGGUCUGUGCGAAGCCGCAAGGCGAAGUAUACGGGCUGACGCCUGCCCGGUGCUGGAAGGUUAAGGGGAGUGGUAAGCCUUCGGGCGAAGCUAUGAACCGAAGCCCCAGUAAACGGCGGCCGUAACUAUAACGGUCCUAAGGUAGCGAAAUUCCUUGUCAGGUAAAUUCUGACCCGCACGAAUGGCGUAACGACUUGGGCGCUGUCUCAACGAGAGAUCCGGUGAAAUUUUAAUACCUGUGAAGAUGCAGGUUACCCGCGACAAGACGGAAAGACCCCAUGGAGCUUUACUGCAGCUUGAUAUUGAAUUUGGGUACGAUCUGUACAGGAUAGGUGGGAGCCGU